This 240-nucleotide ribosomal RNA is filed under the name uncultured bacterium. RNAcentral's name for it is "partial 16S ribosomal RNA". It matches the Rfam family "Bacterial small subunit ribosomal RNA", at positions 240 to 501 of the family's 1533-position model. The record is from RNAcentral.
AUUAGGAUGUUGGUGGGGUCGGCCUCCAAGCCUCAUCUAUAGCUGGUUUUAGAGGAUGAUCAGCAACACUGGGACUGAGACACGGCCCAGACUCCUACGGGAGGCAGCAGUGGGGAAUCUUAGACAAUGGGGGCAACCCUGAUCUAGCCAUGCCGCGUGAGUGAUGAAGGCCUUAGGGUCGUAAAGCUCUUUCGCCUGUGAUGAUAAUGACAGUAGCAGGUAAAGAAACUCCCGGCUCAA